This is a non-coding RNA of Podarcis lilfordi (Lilford's wall lizard), 69 nucleotides long. Lineage: Eukaryota; Metazoa; Chordata; Lepidosauria; Squamata; Lacertidae. The record is from the annotation of a GenBank genome assembly.
GCCAUAGCUCAGUGGCAGAGCAUCUGCCUUGCAUGCAGAAGGGCACAGGUUCUAUCCCCAGGUGGGGCU